RNAcentral lists this transfer RNA (82 nucleotides) under Gongylonema pulchrum. It matches the Rfam family "tRNA". Rfam says of the family: Transfer RNA (tRNA) molecules are approximately 80 nucleotides in length. The record is from Rfam by way of RNAcentral. Lineage: Eukaryota; Metazoa; Nematoda; Chromadorea; Rhabditida; Gongylonematidae.
GGCGAGAUGGCCGAGCGGUCUAAGGCGUUGGUUUUAGGCACCAAUCUCUUCGGAGGCGUGGGUUCGAAUCCCACUCUCGUCA